AUUGAACGCUGGCGGCAGGCCUAACACAUGCAAGUCGAGCGGAUGAAGGGAGCUUGCUCCUGGAUUCAGCGGCGGACGGGUGAGUAAUGCCUAGGAAUCUGCCUGGUAGUGGGGGAUAACGUCCGGAAACGGGCGCUAAUACCGCAUACGUCCUGAGGGAGAAAGUGGGGGAUCUUCGGACCUCACGCUAUCAGAUGAGCCUAGGUCGGAUUAGCUAGUUGGUGGGGUAAAGGCCUACCAAGGCGACGAUCCGUAACUGGUCUGAGAGGAUGAUCAGUCACACUGGAACUGAGACACGGUCCAGACUCCUACGGGAGGCAGCAGUGGGGAAUAUUGGACAAUGGGCGAAAGCCUGAUCCAGCCGUGCCGCGUGUGUGAAGAAGGUCUUCGGAUUGUAAAGCACUUUAAGUUGGGAGGAAGGGCAGUAAGUUAAUAUCUUGCUGUUUUGACGUUACCAACAGAAUAAGCACCGGCUAACUUCGUG
RNAcentral lists this ribosomal RNA (484 nucleotides) under uncultured bacterium. RNAcentral describes it as "partial 16S ribosomal RNA". It matches the Rfam family "Bacterial small subunit ribosomal RNA", at positions 30 to 507 of the family's 1533-position model. The record is from RNAcentral.